Molecule: ribosomal RNA, 869 nt
Filed under: uncultured bacterium
Lineage: Bacteria
Description: bacterial SSU rRNA
Rfam family: Bacterial small subunit ribosomal RNA
Source: RNAcentral
UGCAGUCGGACGGGAUUGAGGAGCUUGCUUCUCAUGAGAGUGGCGCACGGGUGCGUAACACGUAUGUAACCUACCUUGUUCAGGGGGAUAGCCUCUCGAAAGAGAGAUUAACACCGCAUAAAAUCAAUUUAUGGCAUCAUAGAAUGAUCAAAUAUUUAUAGGAACAAGAUGGGCAUGCGGAACAUUAGCUAGUUGGUAAGGUAACGGCUUACCAAGGCUACGAUGUUUAGGGGAUCUGAGAGGAUGACCCCCCACACUGGUACUGAGACACGGACCAGACUCCUACGGGAGGCAGCAGUAAGGAAUAUUGGUCAAUGGACGCAAGUCUGAACCAGCCAUGCCGCGUGCAGGAAGACGGCCCUACGGGUUGUAAACUGCUUUUGUACCGGAAUAAACCUUUUCACGUGUGAGAAGCUGAAUGUACGGUAAGAAUAAGGAUCGGCUAACUCCGUGCCAGCAGCCGCGGUAAUACGGAGGAUCCAAGCGUUAUCCGGAUUUAUUGGGUUUAAAGGGUGCGUAGGUGGCCUAUUAAGUCAGGGGUGAAAGACGGUAGCUUAACUAUCGCAGUGCCUUUGAUACUGAUGGGCUUGAAUACACUUGAGGUAGGCGGAAUGUGACAAGUAGCGGUGAAAUGCAUAGAUAUGUCACAGAACACCAAUUGCGAAGGCAGCUUACUAAAGUGUUAUUGACACUGAGGCACGAAAGCGUGGGGGAUCAAACAGGAUUAGAUACCCUGGUAGUCCACGCCCUAAACGAUGAAUACUCGAUGUUGGCGAUAUACGGUCAGCGUCUAAGCGAAAGCGUUAAGUAUUCCACCUGGGGAGUACGCCCGCAAGGGUGAAACUCAAAGGAUUGACGGGGGCCCGCAC